GGAAUCAUUCAGCACUUCCUGUGGAAUACGGCUGCCACCGACGACCACACUGAUUGCAGCAGCACACUGACCUAAUUCUGCCGUUACCAAGGCGAUAAGCAGAUGGACAUGGUGAGUCCCACCCCAAGCGUUGGCUGAGGAGCUGCAGGAACACCCAUCUCUACAGCUGCAUAAUCAAAGUGACAUCAGAGCGGAUGGUCACUGGAACAUGUUUGGGAGUGUGUAGACGCAGCUUUGAUUCCAGAAUAAGAUAAUAUCAUCCAAUUUGUCAUCCCACACCUCAUUACCCUGGAAACAUGGUGGAGGUUGUCUUCCACUGCACAGUACCACGUAAACAGAGGAUCAGGGUGAUCGGACUGUCAGAGCAUGCAUUUGGAGUCAUUGCUGUGGUGGCCAGAGCGGCACAUGUCAACUAUGGACUCACUAAGGGUGAAAUGUAAAGUCACAUACAGGAACUACUUUGAAAUUAAUACAUUCCUCAGUUCUUCCUCAUUCCUAGUGAUUCUAUCUGCUCUCUGAACGUGUUAGAAUUGCAGCACAAUCAGAGCCUGCCUUCAUUGCUAUAAGAAACGUGCAGGAAUACUGGAGCUACACUGACCCUGGACAGGAAGUAGGAUUGUGGUAACUAAGGGGCUCAGGUUAAAGGUCAUUGUCUUCCCAAGAUGCAAGGUGUAAAUUGUUCUGACAACAGCUCUGGCACCCCUGACCCUGCUUCACUACCUUGUCUUCCCUCUCCAGUACCUGAGAAUAAUAAAUGCUUUAAAAAAUAUAUAUUUACCCUGACUCUGAACAUCUGACUCUCACAGUCCAAUACUGGGGAGAUUAUAGGAUUCUCAGGGUUGACUGACCUUUAACCUAGAAGUCCACUGUCCAAUAUGAUUGGGAUGUGGCAAAAAUAUUUGAAAGUCAUCCAUAAUUAAUCUCCUGGACAGGAACCUUCAUAAUCUCUUGUCUGUUUUAAAUAGAACAUCCAUUUCUUAUUUAGGACCUUAUCCAUUUUAUUAUAAGUCUAAAACAAAUCCCCAGUUAGCUUAUCUAUUUCCUGAAUAAAACAUCCCUCAUGUUCCUGUUCUCUCCCUGUUUGUCCAGUUGAUUUGCUGCUCCCAUGCAGGUUCAGCAAGGCCUUACACACCAGAUGGGUAAAAUCCCCUCUAUCCGUGAUGUGAUGCAUUUCCUUACUUCCU
Molecule: long non-coding RNA, 1184 nt
Organism: Oncorhynchus gorbuscha (pink salmon)
Lineage: Eukaryota; Metazoa; Chordata; Actinopteri; Salmoniformes; Salmonidae
Exons: 3
Source: RefSeq, a predicted model, not a curated record